This 220-nucleotide unclassified non-coding RNA is filed under the name plant metagenome. RNAcentral describes it as "partial contains small subunit ribosomal RNA, internal transcribed spacer 1, and 5.8S ribosomal RNA". The record is from RNAcentral.
UUUCCGUAGGUGAACCUGCGGAAGGAUCAUUACAGAGUUCAUGCCCCCACGGGUAGAUCUCCCACCCUUGAAUAUUUAUACCUUAGUUGCUUUGGCAGGCCGUGGAAACACCAUGGGCUCCGGCUUAUGCGUGCCUGCCAGAGGAAACAAACUCUGUUUUUAGUGAUGUCUGAGUACUAUAUAAUAGUUAAAACUUUCAACAACGGAUCUCUUGGUUCUG